Molecule: ribosomal RNA, 253 nt
Filed under: uncultured bacterium
Lineage: Bacteria
Description: partial 16S ribosomal RNA
Rfam family: Bacterial small subunit ribosomal RNA
Source: RNAcentral
UACGUAGGGUGCAAGCUUUAAUCGGAAUUACUGGGCGUAAAGCGUGCGCAGGCGGUUGUGCAAGACAGAUGUGAAAUCCCCGGGCUUAACCUGGGAAUUGCAUUUGUGACUGUACGGCUAGAGUGUGGCAGAGGGGGGUAGAAUUCCACGUGUAGCAGUGAAAUGCGUAGAGAUGUGGAGGAAUACCGAUGGCGAAGGCAGCCCCCUGGGAUAACACUGACGCUCAUGCACGAAAGCGUGGGGAUCAAACAGG